This 1973-nucleotide long non-coding RNA is filed under the name Equus caballus (horse). RNAcentral describes it as "lncRNA (ENSECAG00000046892.1)". Lineage: Eukaryota; Metazoa; Chordata; Mammalia; Perissodactyla; Equidae. The record is from RNAcentral.
CUCCAUCAGUUUCACCUAUGGCUUCUUAGGAGAUUUGCAACAAGCAGCUGAUGUGAAGGAAAAAACCUGGUCCUGGUUCAUAAAUGGGUAGACUUAACAUGUUUGUGCAAAUUGAAAAUAGACUUCUACACUACAGCCCGUUCAGGGGUGGCUCCAAGAGACAGGAGUGAGGAGAAAGCAUCCUACUGGGGAGAGCUUCAAGCAGUACACAGCACAAUUUUGUGUGGCAGGGUCAGAGGUAAGGAGAUAUAUAUAUGUAAAUAUAUACAUAGAGAGAGAGAGACUCCUGGGAAGUGAUGAAAGGCUUGGAUGUAUCGUCAGGAAGGAACAGUGGAAGAUCAGCGACAAAGAGGUCUGGAAGAGGCAUUUAGAUCAACCUAUGGGGGCAGUCAUAAGAGUGACUUAACGUGGGGACAGAGUGGAUCUGAGCAGUGCAAGGGGAGAGUGCAGCAAAUUCUGGACAUGCCUCACCUAUGUCCUUAUGUUUUAAAAACCUCUCUUCUAAAAAGCAUAUGACUGUAUUUUUUCAAUCCAAUCUGGUAAUUUCCGUCUGUAACUGAAUGUGUUUAGUCCAUCACAUUUUUGUGAUUUCUGAUAUGCUUGAAUUUAUUUCUACCGUCUAACUUGGGGCUUCCUAUAUUUCCUGCUUUGUUAAUGCUUCUGUUUUCUCCUCUGUUGCCUUCUAAUAGGUUGACUGUUUUUUUAUUCCUUUUUCUCUAAUUGUUUUAAAAUUAUACACUCUAUUUCUAUUCUUAAAGCUACCCUUAAUUUUAAUACAGAUAUUUGACUUAACAAGGUCUAAAGUUAAAUAAUAUCUCUACCAUCCUUUAUACAAUAAAAUGACUUAAAUCUUUAACUCCAAUAUACAUGUUAUCAUUUUAUACUGUUGUGUUCCAACUUCUAUUUAGACCAUUCCACUAAAAAUUAAUUUUUAUUAUCACUGUAUAUAAGUUCUUUUCUAGUAAACCCAUGUAUUUAUAUAUUUUUUAUUAUUGUAUUGUACAUUUACUCCUGAGUUAGAUUUCCUUCUUCUAGAAAUAUACCCUUUAGUUAUUUUUUCAACACAGUUUAGUUACUAAUAAAUAUUUCAGUAUUUUUCUGAAAAUAUCUUUAUUUUGCCCUUUCUCUUGAAUGCUAGCUUACCUGGGAAUAAAAUUCUAGGUAGAUACUUAUUUUCUGUAGGCACUUUCACGAUGUAAUACCAUCCGUCUUGUAUUGUUGUUCUAUUGUCCACCAUUUCUAUUGUUGUUCUUGAUAAGUCUAAAGUUAGUCUAAUUGUCAUUCUCUGUGGUUAAUCUCUUUAUUCUCUCUAUUGUUUUAAGAUGCUGUCUUUGAUUUUAGGGUUCUUCAGUUUCACUUCAAAGUGUGUAUGUAUAGAUUGUUUUAUUUAUCCUGCUUAAGAUAUUUAGGCUUCCCAAACCUGAAGAUUUUAUGUCUUUCAUGAAUUCUGGAUAAUUCUUAUUCAAAAUUGCUUUAGAUAUUGUCUGUCCAUUCUCUCUCUUCUAAUCUUCUGGAGCUUUUCUUAGCUGAAUGUUGAACUCUCUCUUUUAUCCUCCAUUUUUCUUAACCUGUCUUUUAUAUUUUCCAUUUCUAUAUCUAUGUAUACAUUCUGGGUAAUUUUUUCAGAUCUAUCUACCAGUUCACUAAUUUUCUCUUUGGCUGUGUCUAAUCUGAUGUGUAGUCUGGUCACUGAGUUUUUAAUUUCAAUGAUUAUAUUCUUCAUUUCUAUAAAUUCUAUCUGGUUCUUUUUCAAGACUGUUUUUUUCUAUUUCAUAGUGUCUUAUUCUUUUCUUUAUUAUGUUAAGCAGAUUUGGGGGUGUUACCAAGGCAUAGCCUAGCCUAGCCUGCCUAAUUCAACAUGCCUAUUUGCAUGAUUACUGUAUGUCUCCCUACUAAAUUGUGUGUUUCAUGAGGGCAGAGCCAUAUCUGUGCUUCAAUCAAUUGCAGUCAACAUUAAUUCUGACGCUCAUUAU